GAACCGUAAACAAAUUAUCACAAAUGGAGAGAGAAUUGCAUUCCUGUUUGUUGAUGACUCCUAAAGGGCUCAUUGGUAGUACAUCCGAAGGUUCUCGGAGUUCCAGCUUCGAGGGAUAGGAGUCCCCUCGAGGGUUCCCAACUUGUAAGCUCCGGGUCGCUGAACUCGCGUGACUCGGUAUGGUCCUUCCCAGUUCGGGGCUAGCUUCCCCUGUUCGGCGGGUUGAGAAG
RNAcentral lists this long non-coding RNA (230 nucleotides) under Phoenix dactylifera (date palm). Its description in RNAcentral is "long non-coding RNA (PDAC_LNC003498)". The record is from RNAcentral. Lineage: Eukaryota; Viridiplantae; Streptophyta; Magnoliopsida; Arecales; Arecaceae.